This 776-nucleotide ribosomal RNA is filed under the name uncultured Bacillota bacterium. RNAcentral describes it as "bacterial SSU rRNA". It matches the Rfam family "Bacterial small subunit ribosomal RNA", at positions 29 to 818 of the family's 1533-position model. Lineage: Bacteria; Bacillati; Bacillota. The record is from RNAcentral.
ACGAACGCUGGCGGCGCGCCUAACACAUGCAAGUCGAACGAGAGAGAGGAAGCUUGCUUCCUCAAUCGAGUGGCGAACGGGUGAGUAACGCGUGAGGAACCUGCCUCAAAGAGGGGGGCAACAGUUGGAAACGACUGCUAAUACCGCAUAAGCCUACAGCUCGGCAUCGAGCAGAGGGAAAAGGAGCAAUCCGCUUUGAGAUGGCCUCGCGUCCGAUUAGCUAGUUGGUGAGGUAACGGCCCACCAAGGCAACGAUCGGUAGCCGGACUGAGAGGUUGAACGGCCACAUUGGGACUGAGACACGGCCCAGACUCCUACGGGAGGCAGCAGUGGGGAAUAUUGCACAAUGGGGGAAACCCUGAUGCAGCGACGCCGCGUGGAGGAAGAAGGUCUUCGGAUUGUAAACUCCUGUUGUUGAGGAAGAUAAUGACGGUACUCAACAAGGAAGUGACGGCUAACUACGUGCCAGCAGCCGCGGUAAAACGUAGGUCACAAGCGUUGUCCGGAAUUACUGGGUGUAAAGGGAGCGCAGGCGGGAAGACAAGUUGGAAGUGAAACCUAUGGGCUCAACCCAUAAACUGCUUUCAAAACUGUUUUUCUUGAGUAGUGCAGAGGUAGGCGGAAUUCCCGGUGUAGCGGUGGAAUGCGUAGAUAUCGGGAGGAACACCAGUGGCGAAGGCGGCCUACUGGGCACCAACUGACGCUGAGGCUCGAAAGUGUGGGUAGCAAACAGGAUUAGAUACCCUGGUAGUCCACACCGUAAACGAUGACUACUA